This 149-nucleotide small RNA is filed under the name Arabidopsis thaliana (thale cress). RNAcentral's name for it is "ATSL198160". The record is from RNAcentral. Lineage: Eukaryota; Viridiplantae; Streptophyta; Magnoliopsida; Brassicales; Brassicaceae.
CAAAUCCAAAGACACAUACUUACUUUGGCAACACCAUCAAAGCUUUGAGAAGCAAGAAGAAGCUUGGAUAGUGUUUUAGAGUCAAAUAUGACUAGAUGUCAUGUGUAUGAUGGAGUAUAAGAACUGGAAUCGCAGUCGGUUCCCAAAAG